UUCUACGGCCUUAUGGACACGCCUGAUCUCGUCUGAUCUCGGAAGCUAAGCAUGGUCGGGCCUGGUUAGUAUUUGGAUGGGAGACCGUCUGGGAAUACCAGGUGCUGUAAAUG
RNAcentral lists this ribosomal RNA (113 nucleotides) under Gadus morhua (Atlantic cod). Lineage: Eukaryota; Metazoa; Chordata; Actinopteri; Gadiformes; Gadidae. The record is from RNAcentral.